Molecule: long non-coding RNA, 257 nt
Organism: Telopea speciosissima
Lineage: Eukaryota; Viridiplantae; Streptophyta; Magnoliopsida; Proteales; Proteaceae
Exons: 3
Source: RefSeq, a predicted model, not a curated record
GAACGUAAAAGGAGGAGAUGAACUUUGCUUGCUCUCCCAGUCGUCUUGUUAUAUAUUGAAGUUUGUGGUAAGCUUUGUGGGAGACGAAAGUGAAGUCAUGGAGAACGGUUACCAUGAAAUCCCUGAAAAUGCCCCUGAGCAUUGCCCAGGUACUCAAUCAGAAUCCGCAGGAAAAUCAGAUGCAUGCCAAGGAUGCCCCAAUCAAGAAGCUUGUGCAACUGCUCCAAAAGGGCCCGACCCAGACAGAUGCAGGGGAC